CCAGAAAAACCCUUGUUUAUCCCCCUUUUUUGCCCUUAAUUGCGAAAUGAUUUAAGCCAUAACCCCCCAUAACCAUCCCUUUGUAGUAAGGAAGCUUGUGGUAUAACUUCAGAGAGAUUUAAACACUUAAACACAAGUUAUUGACUGUAAACUACAACUAGUUAUUGUUUGGAAACUAGAAAAAUGCUUGUUUUUGGUCCUUUUA
RNAcentral lists this long non-coding RNA (205 nucleotides) under Mytilus galloprovincialis (Mediterranean mussel). Lineage: Eukaryota; Metazoa; Mollusca; Bivalvia; Mytilida; Mytilidae. The record is from RNAcentral.